This is a non-coding RNA of Heterocephalus glaber (naked mole-rat), 3048 nucleotides long. The record is from RefSeq and is a predicted model, not a curated record. Lineage: Eukaryota; Metazoa; Chordata; Mammalia; Rodentia; Bathyergidae.
AGAAAGGAAGAAAGAAACUCAUUUAUUCUAACUUUAUUAUGAUUUGCAAAUCGUGAGAGAACCAACUUCUUUCAAGAGAGUUAAGGAAGAGAUGCUAGGAACUUCCUUAUCACUGACAGUUGUUCCAGGUCCCUCACACCUCUCCCAGCCCAUGCAUGGCCUUCCUCCUGCCUGGCUUUUGUCUGGGUAAGGAACCGUUCCCUGGAGGCUCUAGUCCCAUCAAGAACUUAGAGAAGAAUACCAUCAGUUUUCCCAGUAAUUUGGUUAAUUGCACAGGGAUGCCUAACCUGGAGUAGAGGUGGUGAGACUGUAGAUGGAAAUCUAGCCUGAACUCUACUCUCCAGUUGUCAAGGGGUGGUAAUGGGCUCUGCUCACCCUGAUGUGGGACUGCAUCUGCCCAAGACUCAGUCUAUUUUGUGACCAAGAGUAUGAGCUGGUGGUAGCCCUGGGUGAUGCAGGGGAAACCAGGAAAGUACAGUGUUUCAAGAAGGGAAUGACCAGCUUAUCUCCUAUGUCCCAGCUUGCUGAGUGGCAGCAAAGGAUGCGGGGGUAGCAGGUGAGUGAAGUGCAUUUUACAAUCCAUGCCUUAAUUCCUAUUAUAAGAACCCAUGUCUCUCCCCUCCAAAAGCGCUGUGACUUACUCAGUUUAUAUCCCCCACUGCUCCCAGCACACAUUCAAUAAACAUGUAGAGUGGUGGACGAAUAGGACUGCAUUCCCUGUCUAGGGUUAACUGCUGCCUAUGGGGGAAAAAUGUGCGCCAGAAGUACAAUUGGUUUGUAUUUUAAUUCAUGCUCCAUUUACACUUUCCUGCCAUUUUAGACUGUUUUUUUGAGACUAAACUGUACUGUGUUUUUAAAAAUGUGAAAACAAAGCUAGGCCAACAGUCUGGAUGCUUGCCAAUCUCAAAAGCCAUUACGUAAUGAUUUUCAAGCAUCUGACUACGUCGGUACCCACGUGUAAUUCCUGUCACAGAGUGACAUGCAUAGCCACACUCAGACUGUGUCAGGCAGAAGAGAAUUGCUUCAAGAGCAAUCUGAAGAAACAAAGUCUCUUCAGAUAAGAAAAAAGUUGCUUUAUCAAUUUUUGAUCAGCAGUUUCAAACUCAAAGAAUGUAUAAGUAUAUUACAUUUGUGCUAUUAUAUAUGGAAUGAUAAGAAGGAUUAUUCCAAAUCAAAUUAAGUAUGUCCUAGAUUGAAUUAAAAAGACCACAGUUGAGAUCGAUGGUGACUAGUAUGGGGAAAGAAGUUUUUUGCAUUAGAGAAGAAAAUGAUAAGAGGCCUUGUAGAGUAACCUAGAGAACAAAGAGUCCAAGUAAAUAACAAACAUCUUUUUUGACCUAUUCCAGAUACACAGUUUAGGAGAUCUACUCUACUCUACUAAAUAGAGAAAAAUAUGAAAUGAUGCCACAUAAUGUUCAUGUGGUAAACAUAAAAUGUAAUAAUCAUUCCUUUAAAAAUCCAACCCCAAACCACAAAUCUUCACAGAAAUAGAUUUGCUCCUCUGAAAAGGAGUUUUAUAAGAAAGUGAGGCCAGGACAAAGAAACUGGCUGUUGCCACCACUGCUGGUGCAAGAGGAUUUAAGCAGAAGACAAUGAGACCCUGAGAAGUGGCAGCAGGGACGUAACAGCAAGCCUAUAUCCACCCUGGUUGCUAUCCUGUGCAUGAGAGGCCCCUCCAGAUGCCCAUUGUCAAGCAAGGUAUAAUGUAACAGUUACCUACUAAAUAUUGGAGGACUGCAAAUCAGGAAACUUUUUACUCUGCUUCCUAUUUUAGCCCUGAUACUAUGAUUUUGGAAAAGUUAUUUCUCUACUAAAUGAAGACGACUCCUCCUCCCAUCAAACUGUUUCUUGGGGAACACCCUAAGAUUUUCCAUACUCUUUGGAGGAACCAUGGUAGGGGAGAAGCAGAACACUGGGUAUAAGUUAUUUUAUGUAAGUUUUUGGCAUACAUUAUUGAAUUCUUUGGCUACAGACUCACGUUCUCAAUAUGUUUUGAUAAGCUAAGUGUCAACGGUAACCAUGAAAACAUAUACACAGGCUUGCUGGCAAGAGAAACUGACAUAGGACCAAAAAAAUUGGGGAUUAGAAAGAGAGAAAUACGAAAAUAACCAAGUUGUCUACUGUGAAAUUAAUGAGGCAAUAUCCAAGUGCUUUGUUUAUCUUAGAGAAAAACUGAUAGAAAGUGUACAUGAGGCAAGUCCUGUAAACCAGAGAGACCAGAGCUAUGAGCCAGGUAAUUAUCACUGAGCUUAAGGACAAUGGAACUAAGGAAGUGAACGUAUAGACAGCAUCAUUUCAUUUAGAGCUAACAAUUUAAAAAGAAGUGUCUACUUCACUGAGCAGCACUGAUUUCAUCUUCAAAGUCUUCCUAGUGCCCAUGUGCAGGGAUCUGCCUGGUGUGGACCCCGGGUCCCUGCCUUUUAGAAGCCUCUGGUAUAAGCCUGAUGACACUGAAGUACAGAAGCAUAUACAUCACCUUUCCACCUUUAGGCACCAUUCAGACAUUAGAAAACUGAGAAGGGGUGAGUCUAUCUUGCAGGGAAGACAAAGUCUUGCAAGGCAUGUUUUUUAAAAGGGUGGGAAUCACCAUCCUAUUUGACCAGACAAGCAGGUCUUUGUGUAGGAGGGUGGGGCUGUCAGAGGCUGAAUGAGGGAUGGCUGCAGCUCAGCAGGCUUCUGGGAAAGCAUUUCCAACUGCCCGGCUCAGGCUCAGCAUAGGAGUCAGAAAUGAGGUGGAAAGUAAUGAGCUUUACAGACCAGCAAGUUGGGUGAGAUCACUCUGAGAAACCCAGGCAAGAGCGGUGGAGGUCAUGAUUCUACCUGUUAAUGUUAGCUGUAGAGAAACCAAAGCUCAUAGUCAGUCAGUCCCUACUCCACCAGGUUCCAGGCAUAGACAUCUACCUACAGGUUUGACUUAUGCCUUCUUUUAUAAAGUGCAAGUGAUACUAUUUUGUCUGCCCUUUAUUUGUUUUGUUUGGUGCCCUUUAUUUAUGUCAUGAUCUCAAAGAUCAAUUGUUGAGUAUGUAUAUUCAAAUAACUAGUAAUAAA